GAUGAACGCUGGCGGCGUGCCUAAUACAUGCAAGUCGAGCGAACGGACGAGAAGCUUGCUUCUCUGAUGUUAGCGGCGGACGGGUGAGUAACACGUGGAUAACCUACCUAUAAGACUGGGAUAACUUCGGGAAACCGUAGCUAAUACCGGAUAAUAUUUUGAACCGCAUGGUUCAUAAGUGAAAGACGGUCUUGCUGUCACGUAUAGAUGGAUCCGCGCUGCAUUAGCUAGUUGUUAAGGUAACGGCUUACCAAGGCUACGAUGCAUAGCCGACCUGAGAGGCUGAUCGGCGACACUGGAACUGAGACAGGGUCAAGACUCCUACGGGAGGCAGCAGUAGGGAACGGUACGCAAUGGGGGGAAGCAUGGCGGAGCGAGGCGGAGUGUGUGAUGAAGGUCUUGGGAUCGUAAAACUCUGUUAUGGGGGAAGAACAGAUGUGGAAGUAACUGUACACAUCUUGACGGUAACUAAUCAGAAAGCAACGGCUAACUACGUG
This 497-nucleotide ribosomal RNA is filed under the name uncultured bacterium. Its description in RNAcentral is "partial 16S ribosomal RNA". It matches the Rfam family "Bacterial small subunit ribosomal RNA", at positions 28 to 507 of the family's 1533-position model. The record is from RNAcentral.